Molecule: non-coding RNA, 148 nt
Filed under: Homo sapiens (human)
Lineage: Eukaryota; Metazoa; Chordata; Mammalia; Primates; Hominidae
Source: Rfam by way of RNAcentral
GCUGGGUGUGGUGAUGCACACCUGUAGUCCCAGCUACUUGGGAAGCUGAGGCAGGAGAAUUGCUUGAACCUGGGAGGCAGAGGUUGCAGUGAGCUGAGAUCUCACCAUUGCACUCCAGCCUGGGCAACAGAGCAAGACUCUGUCUCUC